ACAAUUGAGCAAGUUUUGCACAACCUGUCAAAGUCAUUCAGGUUAUACAUCAGAAUUAAAAAAAAAAUUAUUAAACAAACAGGAAAAAUAGUAUAUAAUAUUUUUUAAGUUUAUGAAACAUACAUUAGAAUUUAGAACUCAAUAAACACAAAGAUAAGAGCAAACUAUUGAUUCAUGAUAAGGAUUUUUAAACUCCACUAUGAAAAUUGUCAUUGGGCAGGAAAAAUACUUCAUCAAUAUUAUGGUCAUAG
Molecule: unclassified non-coding RNA, 251 nt
Filed under: Hevea brasiliensis (rubber tree)
Lineage: Eukaryota; Viridiplantae; Streptophyta; Magnoliopsida; Malpighiales; Euphorbiaceae
Source: RNAcentral